UCAACAAUUGAUUGACAAUAUUUCUAUUCUUCGACAAUAAGUAGUAUUCAAAGUAUUACAGUAUUUAUUUUUCUUUGUUAACAGGGAAAGAGAAGGCAAGCAUUUGCAGAGCUCGGUUUUCAAAGAAUAUUAAAAAUCGCUCGCACUAGAAUCCGCAUAGAAAUGAAUGAGACUCCGCCGAUUCUAAGCGCCGGUUUAUUGGGAAUGAUGGAAGAUUCGCUCUGAGGACAGGUAUAUAACAUUAAGUCAAGUCAAGCACCAUGGAAGCUACAAUGUUUUUCAGUUUCAGGACAACGACGCAAGACAACGCAUUGACAUCGAAUUCAACCCGUGGAGCACCAUAAAGGUUCUGGUCACUUACUAUUUGAAUCUCCCAAUGUAACAGGACGUGAAUCACGUAGACCAUAUCAUCCGAUCAACUAUGUUGCUUAUAGAGCAUAGCUCUAUAAGCUCCAGUUGAUUAAAUCAUUAAUGUAAACAUUAAUGAACAUGGGUCCAGGAAUGGAGCUUUUAGACAUGCUUUGGUUUACAGUAAAUUAGUCUGUAUAAUUGUAAUGACAUAUUCUGCAUAGGGCUUUCUAUAAAUUAUGGCUUUUAUAUGAUAUAUGGUUGGUAUAAAAGAUCUCUAUCUGCAGAGGACACGACGACUGACAUUUGGGUGUUUAAAGACCUUCGGGGUAUAAAUUCAUGUUCUGUUUGAUCUACAAUUAUUUAUAUUUAUAUUUUUAAUGCAAUCUUUACUCGUUGCUAUAUUUAUUUUAAAUUGACAAAUUUUUAUCAAAAUUUUUACCCCAAAAACAUUUGAUUAAAAUAUUAAUAACACAAUAAUUAGAUUUUUGCCAUUGAUUUCAAUUUAGUAAAUUAAUCGAAUAGCAACGAAUAACCAGUUUUAUUCCCUGAUGUUAAUCUGUCAAGCAAUCAGGGUCAGUUUCUGGAAAUCAAAAAACUACCACAAAAUGAGUGUCACCUUGACGUGGCUUUGUGGCUUAAUGUGUGAAAAUUUUAUCAAGUUUUACACAUAAGGUUUUCCACAGACUAAGUACACUCGACAGAAGUAUUUCGAAACAAUUUAAUUUUAAAAUCAUACAAUACAAAAAAGCAGUAAGGACAGGAAACAACAAGACAGGAAACUCAUAUGUUGUUUAUAGACUUAACGAAGGCAUAUGAUAAUAUCCCAACAUCAAAACUAUGGGAUUAAAAGAGAUAAAUAUUAAUAACACACUUAUUAAAGCAUGAAACUGGAAGAAAGAGAAAAGAUUGAGAGAUGUGAGCUUUACAAUUAUCUGUAAUACAAAUUCAUCAAGAUGGAAGAGAUGCAUUAGAAAUUAAUACCUGUACAUUAAUACAAGAAUAGCCCAAGGUAAGAGAAAAGUUAAAAAAUUAAAUGGAAUAUGAUGGAGUGAAGAAAUAACUAGAUUUAAAAAAAAGAAUAUAUAAUGCUAUUGUUAAAAACAUUCUAUUAUACGGAGCGGAGGCAUGGAGAAUGGCUGGAGAAGACAAAAGUAACAACAGUUGAAAUGAAUGUAUUGAGAAGAUCGUGCAGAAUCUCGAAAAGAGAAAGAAUAACUAAUGAGAGGAUCAAAGAUCUAGUGAGAUUAAAGGAGACGGUUUUGGAAGAAAUACAGAGGAAACAACUUAUUUGAUUUGGACAUGUAAAAAGAAUGAGUAAUGAGAGACUCCCGAAAAUUUCAAAAUACAUUCCACAAAAAAAAGGGAAAUAGAGGAAGACCUACGCGAACUUGGUACGACGAAUUAAAGUUAGCAGGUAGUGAAAACGGGAUUAAAGAGGAAUGGUGUAUGGAUAGAAAGAGAUGGAAAGGAUUCCUGGAGAUCGGAAGGCGACGUCAUACACCAUAAACCGAAAAUAGAUAGAUGGUGUUAUGACAUGUUCAUUGCAAGUUGACAGUAGUAUGUGUAGUUUUGCUCAUAGUUUGCAACUUUCGAUGAUAAGGAUGUUGCGAAGAAAUUAUUAAGAAUUGGUAAGUGCAAUUUGGUUGUCUGGCAUUUCAAAUGUUUAUGCAGUUGCAACAAGUGCAACAAAUUCGCUUAUCAGGAAGGUCACAACUUUCCUAAAUAUAAAUUGAUUUAAUCAUAGAAACUCAUUAGAAUUUAACACUUCAAAUUAUUGAAGGAUUUCAGAAGCAAAGAGAAGCGAUUAUAAAUGAUAUCUACGGCAAAAAUAUCACUAAAAAUUCUGAAGAGAACACUACUAUAUCAAUUUCAAUUUGUUACUCAAUAACUUUUUAGAAUUGGAAGAAAACUGAAAAAACAAGUAACUUUUCAAAAUAUAUUUUGAAUUAAUAUAAAAACCCUAUUUAAGAUAAAAAUAGAAUGUAGAUUGCUGUAUCUCUUUUGCCUGUUUAACUGCUUUAUACCGGUGAUGCAAAUAACUAACAAUACGAAUUCGUAUUAUUGAAACUGGAAAGCUGGCAGAAAAGCUUUAAAUCGCUACUAUAUAAUCAAAACAGAAAAGUUACAUCGAACUGUUUCUAGAAAAUGCGCUAGAUACAGUGAAUUUAAGAGUAUAUUCCGAGCUCCUUUUCUCUUCGCUUAGUUGUGUGUAUCGUCGUCUGAGCACGGAAUUUAGAACUUAGUUUUCUAAUUACUUAUUAUUAAAUAUUUACCGUGCCAAAUACUAAAAAUUCUGGUAUCUAAUUUCUACAAACAGAAAACAAAAGAAAAGUGAAUUAAACAAAAAAAAUCAAAUAAUUAUAACACAAAAUCUAUAUGUAAAAUUGAAUUUAAAACUGCUUUUCUGUUAUCGUUUAAUUCAGAAAUACAAGCAGUUUCAAAUUAUAUUGUACUUUCAAAUCAUUCCUAAUCCAUUUAUGUC
Long non-coding RNA from Centruroides sculpturatus (bark scorpion), 2833 nucleotides. RefSeq lists it as uncharacterized. The record is from RefSeq and is a predicted model, not a curated record. The transcript is spliced from 3 exons. Lineage: Eukaryota; Metazoa; Arthropoda; Arachnida; Scorpiones; Buthidae.